This 1982-nucleotide long non-coding RNA is filed under the name Gallus gallus (chicken). Its description in RNAcentral is "lncRNA (ENSGALG00010009918.1)". The record is from RNAcentral. Lineage: Eukaryota; Metazoa; Chordata; Aves; Galliformes; Phasianidae.
GGGAGAGGAGAGCAACUGCAGUUCAGUGAGCAGGCACAGGCAAUGGAAAUGACAAAAAAAUCCCAAACUCCUAGAAGAGUAUAGAAGUUUCAUCAGACAGAGCGCACUUUAUGAAAUACAGAAUAGAGGGGGGGGGGGGAAGUGAGAGUAAACACACGUUUUAUGGUGUGCUUUUGCUUUUAACUGUAAAACAGAACUUCCGAUCUGUCUUCUGCUCUGACACAUUUUGAGAAUGAGCAAAUAAAAGGAGAGAAGCGGAAGUCAAAAUGAGAAAGAAGGCUGACUGCAGUCUGCAAACCGAGCGCUACAAGAGACGGAUGUGGUGUGGGCAUGAAGUCAAAUCACAACAGAACAUUGAGACGAGAUUUUCUUCUGGAAAUAAACAGAGGGGAAAAGUGCUGUUUCUCAAAAAGAAAAAAAAAAUGAAGAAGGAAGAAAAAGGAGAAAAGGAGAAAAGGAGAAAAGGAGAAAAGGAGAAAAGGAGAAAAGGAGAAAAGGAGAAAAGGAGAAAAGGAGAAAAGGAGAAAAGGAGAAAAGGAGAAAAGGAGAAAAGGAGAAAAGGAGAAAAGGAGAAAAGGAGAAAAGGAGAAAAGGAGAAAAGGAGAAAAGGAGAAAAGGAGAAAAGGAUAGAUGUUACAGAACAGUUGGAGGAACGCCUGGAAUGAGACAUCCCUGUACAAGAAAUGCAAAAAUCCUAAUAGCCUUUUAUAUAUUCAUGAAUUAAGUGACAGAAAGGCUAAGCAGGAAAGUCCCACUGUUACAGAAGGGAAUAUUCACACAGCUCCUAUUAGCUGUUGUUUUCCAACACUGCAGUCUUCAGGGGAAUUAACACAUUUCCUAUUGAGAAAGAGGAAAACAAGACAGCUCAUUUAUCUGGAGGAGCGUCCCCGUCUUAUCACAGUAUCUGAGCAGAUCAAAGCUACCAGACACCACCAGAACCAGCACCAAAAGAUGUGGAACAUCUGAAGAAACUCUUCAUUCCAUCAUGUAAAUUAAAUGGCAAAAAAAAAAAAAAGUUUGUGGCUCCACUGCCUUUAGAGAUGUUUUGCUGCAGUGCUGACAUAGUGGCAAUGAAUCUGCUCUCACCGUUAGAAAAGUAUAAUGGACUGCCUGAGUCUGUGCCUCCUGCUCAAACCUGUAAGGCAUACAGAGACAAAAAGUAUUUGGCAGUGCUUAAAAUACCUCAUCCUCGUUUGUAUCUGUGCUUCUCAAUCUGCUGAAAGGAACUGCAUCUAGCUUGAAAACUUUCAGCUGAAAGGGAUUCUGUAACUUUAUUUUCCAUGUGUGCCCUUAAAAUGGUCUGAAUUUCUAAGGAAUCCUAGGAGUUUCAAAGUCAGUUUUUACACUGACACGCGAGUUUUUCAUAUCAUGUAACAAGUGCCAACGAUGUUACCCAUACUUCAAUGCUAUCUCCAUAAAAAUUUUCUAAGUAGACUUCGUUAAAAAAAACCAAAAGUCCAUAAGAUCACCUGCACAAAAUGAGAAAAGUGAGUGUGAUUUAUUCAGUGCCCUGCUAGUUUAAGAGAUUAAAGCUAUUACCAUGAUCGUCACAAAGAUUUGCAGUGAUCUGUAAGUGUGAAGGUUUGACUACACGGAGUAUAUCCGGAUGGUGCCCUCCGACUCCUGCUCUUUGUAUUACUUCAACUAAGGAGGAGUAGCAAUAGUUAAUCAACUUCUCUGACUCUUUGAAAUUUGCAGACCCAGAAAUUAAACCUGCGAAGCGCUGGGUAUCUCCUGCUCUUAGCGUAGCCAGGAUGGAGUCCCAAAAGACCAUUAGGUAAAUUUGAAGUAAUCUUAUAUAACUAAUGGAAAAAUCCUGUGACUUUUGGACAGCAGGUGGGUUUAUGAAACAAUCUCCUAACACCACCAGAAGCCAGUUGAGAGAUUACAAGUGCCAUAAUCUGCUCUAACAGUCCUCCUUUAACUCCUGUGCGCUGAAAUUCUAACCAGGGAAUGAGAUGGAGUGUACUAAGGGAGAUGCC